AGGAAGCGAGAAGUCGACGCGCCGAAAGGCGUCCGGCCCUCCGCGAGCACCCGCGGGGGUUCGGGUUUCGGACCCGGUCCGUUCCCGUUCCCACCGAGGGGCUGUCCGCGAUCAUGGAGGUGUCCUCGGACGGCGUCGGAGUCUCCGGUCCGCGACGCUACGGCUUGGAUGGUCCACCCGACCCGUCUUGAAACACGGACCAAGGAGUCUAACAUGCGCGCGAGUCGUUGGGUCGGACACGCUCCGCUAAACCCAUAGGCGCAAUGAAAGUGAAGGCCGCCGUCCGGUGGCCGAGGGAGGACGGGGCCGCUGGGGGCGCUCCGGCGUCCUCCGGUCCCCGCACCCCCGGGGCGUCUGAUCCCUCAUCGCGAGGGGAGGCGCACCCAGAGCGCACACGUUGGGACCCGAAAGAUGGUGAACUAUGCCUGGCCAGGACGAAGUCAGGGGAAACCCUGAUGGAGGUCCGUAGCGAUUCUGACGUGCAAAUCGAUCGUCGGAGCUGGGUAUAGGGGCGAAAGACUAAUCGAACCAUCUAGUAGCUGGUUCCCUCCGAAGUUUCCCUCAGGAUAGCUUGCGCUCGGAGGAGAGUCUCAUCCGGUAAAGCGAAUGAUUAGAGGCCUUGGGGCCGAAACGGCUUCAACCUAUUCUCAAACUUUAAAUGGGUGAGAACUCCGGCUUGCUCGACUUAUCGAAGCCGGAGACGGGGUCCGCUCCUCGGGGCGGGCCCCUGGGAUCGGAGUGCAUAGUGGGCCACUUUUGGUAAGCAGAACUGGCGCUGUGGGAUGAACCAAACGACGGGUUAAGGCGCCCGAAUCGACGCUCAUGGGAAACCAUGAAAGGUGUUGGUUGCUUAAGACAGCAGGACGGUGGCCAUGGAAGUCGGAAUCCGCUAAGGAGUGUGUAAUAACUCACCUGCCGAAGCAACUAGCCCUGAAAAUGGAUGGCGCUGAAGCGUCGUGCCUAUACCCGGCCGUCGCCGCAGGGCGGACCCGACCUCGGUCGGGUGCCGUUUGACGCGGCGACGAGUAGGAGGGUCGCGGCGGCGAGCGCAGAAGGGUCUGGGCUCGAGCCUGCCUGGAGCCGCCGCCGGUGCAGAUCUUGGUGGUAGUAGCAAAUACUCCAGCGAGGCCCUGGAGGACUGAUGUGGAGAAGGGUUUCGUGUGAACAGCCGUUGCACACGAGUCAGUCGAUCCUAAGCCCUAGGAGAAAUCCGACGCCAACGGCGACGGGAAAAAUUUGAAACCAAUGAGAAAGAAACCCGUUGAUCGGGCGAAAGGGAAUCCGGUUCCUAUUCCGGAACCCGGCAGCGGAACCGCUGUUUGUCGGGCCCUCACAAGGGGUUCGUCAGGGUAACCUAAAAGGGCCCGGAGACGCCGUCGGGAGCCCCGGAAAGAGUUUUCUUUUCUGCAUGAGCGUUCGAGUUCCCUG
This 1428-nucleotide ribosomal RNA is filed under the name Calicnemia sinensis. RNAcentral's name for it is "eukaryotic LSU rRNA". It matches the Rfam family "Eukaryotic large subunit ribosomal RNA", at positions 592 to 1722 of the family's 3401-position model. Lineage: Eukaryota; Metazoa; Arthropoda; Insecta; Odonata; Platycnemididae. The record is from RNAcentral.